RNAcentral lists this ribosomal RNA (615 nucleotides) under Thecaphora frezii. RNAcentral describes it as "LSU rRNA". It matches the Rfam family "Eukaryotic large subunit ribosomal RNA", at positions 62 to 648 of the family's 3401-position model. Lineage: Eukaryota; Fungi; Basidiomycota; Ustilaginomycetes; Urocystidales; Glomosporiaceae. The record is from RNAcentral.
AAACUAACAAGGAUUCCCCUAGUAACGGCGAGUGAAGAGGGAAGAGCCCAAGUUUGAAAGCUGGCACCUUCGGUGUCCGCAUUGUAAACUCGAGAAGUGUUAUCCGCGCCGGACCAGGCUUUAAAUCCUUUGGAAUAAGGUACCUUAGAGGGUGAUAGUCCCUUUCAUAGUCUGGAAUCCCCGGGGCUUUGUGAUGCGCUCUCCAAGAGUCGAGUUGUUUGGGAAUGCAGCUCAAAAUGGGUGGUAAAUGCCAUCUAAGGCUAAAUAUAGAGGAGAGACCGAUAGCGAACAAGUACCGUGAGGGAAAGAUGAAAAGAACUUUGGAAAGAGAGUUAAACAGUACGUGAAAUUGCCGGAAGGGAAGGGUAGGAAGUCAGAUAUGUCUUGGCGGAUUCAGCUUGACCUUUCGAGGUUGGGUGUAUUUCCGUCAUGGACAGGCCAACAUCGAUUUUGGCUGCCGGAUAUUGGUAGAGGGAAUGUGGCACUCUUUUCGGAGGGUGUGUUAUAGCCCUUUGCUUGGUACGGCGGCUGGGAUCGAGGAACGCAGUGCACCCGUCAGGGCGGGCCUUCGGGCACCUUUGCACAUAGGAUGCUGGCUUAAUGGCUUUCUGCCAC